GUGGAGGUGUCCGGGGGCCGCCGUUGGGACCGAGGUGUUCCCGGGCGCGGGGAGGAGCGGCAGUGCUGGGGAUGGGGCCCCCCACCACGACACCUAAGGGAAACCUAACCCUCACCCCGUGGGGCGCGGGGCACAAAAACUAGUGCAAGAAGACCCCGAACCAGGAAAGAGGCGAAGGAAAGCGCCCGUGCACCGGCCGCUGCAUCGUAGCCCCCGAAUCCCUUCACUCCGCCAAGGGCGAGUCCGACCUGCCCACGAGCCGUGCCCGGGCUCGCGCCAAUUCCACAACCGUCGGUCUGGUUUCCUCUGCCCUCUUUUUCCUUCCUCCACCGUCCAGAACACUCUUGGGGCAGCCGGAAAGAGGAAGGGCUGGGACUGAACGUUUGGUGACACCAGAGAUCAGGUUGUUGGAGGGCAGAGAAGACAUUUUAUUCGUCUUUGCAGUCUUCCAGUAUCUGGCACAAAUUCUUGCAGAUACAAGAAUGAAGAGAUCUGACCAUCUGGAUAUCCUACAGAUCUGCCUACUGAUCUAUUACAUUAAUGGCAUUAGAUUUUUCAGGCCAAAUGGCCAAAAAAAAUGACAAGUAUGCUAGAAUUCUUGACAAGUCACAUGGAUGUGAGAUAAACACACUUAGGAAUCUUCUACUCUCUGGCAGCCCGGGUGGCUCAGCGGUUUAGUGCCGGCUUCAGCCCAGGGCAUGAUCCUGGGGACCUGGGAUCAAGUCCCACAUCAGGCUCCACAUGGAGCCUGCUUCUCCCUCUGCCUCUGUCUG
Canis lupus familiaris (dog) is the source of this 773-nucleotide long non-coding RNA. RefSeq lists it as uncharacterized. The record is from RefSeq and is a predicted model, not a curated record. The transcript is spliced from 3 exons. Lineage: Eukaryota; Metazoa; Chordata; Mammalia; Carnivora; Canidae.